AUUGAACGCUGGCGGCAGGCCUAACACAUGCAAGUCGAGCGAGCGGCGGACGGGUGAGUAAUGUGUGUGGGUCUGUCCGCUAGAGGGGGGUAACUCCUGGGAAAGGUGGCUAAUACCCCAUACUGUCGGAUGUACCCCGAUGGGAUUAGCUAGUGGGUGGGGUAAUGGCUUACCUAGGCGACGAUCCCUCGCUGGUCUGAGAGGAUGAUCAGCCACACGGGAACUGAGACACGGCCCAGACUCCUACGGGAGGCAGCAGUGGGGAAUAUUGCACAAUGGGCGCAAGCCUGAUGCAGCCAUGCCGCGUGUAUGAAGAAGGCCGUAGGGUUGUAAAGUACUUUAAGUGGGGAGGCGUUACCGAAAGAAGAAGCACCGGCUAACUCCGUGCCAGCAGCCGCGGUAAUAC
Molecule: ribosomal RNA, 406 nt
Filed under: uncultured bacterium
Lineage: Bacteria
Description: partial 16S ribosomal RNA
Rfam family: Bacterial small subunit ribosomal RNA
Source: RNAcentral